This 1146-nucleotide unclassified non-coding RNA is filed under the name Hevea brasiliensis (rubber tree). The record is from RNAcentral. Lineage: Eukaryota; Viridiplantae; Streptophyta; Magnoliopsida; Malpighiales; Euphorbiaceae.
AAUUGAAACUGUAACCAAACAUGAUAAUGUUACAUUCCUAUAAAUACUUUGCUGGAAACCUACUUUUCUAGGAAAGUGAUUCCAGACGAUAAUGUUGAAUUCCAGCAACCAAACGCCUUCUAAGAGUCCAAAUCCUUAGACGACGAUGACUAGUUUAUAAGUCCAACGUCUUUACGAUUUAGGAUUAAUUUCAAUCUAUAAAUACCUAUGAUUGUGCUGCUUAUUAAUAAGUUUUCAAUCAAUAAAAUAAUUUUCUGCAAUCAUUGCUUCUGGAUUGUGAUGGCUACUUGAGUUCAAGAUAUACUUAACUUGAUUAUUACAAAAAUUUAUGUAAAUUUAUUUAUUAUUAUAGAAUUAAAGCUCUUAUAAACUCAAAUGAGCUCAAGCUCAAACUAGACUUCAUAAAUUUUAAUGUUAAUAUUUAUAUAGUAUAAUAUAUAUUUAAAAUUAUGUAAAAACUAACUACCAGAUUAGGCUCACAAACCACUAAAGUUGUGAGUUGACUAUUGUUAUACUUGAAUUUGGCUCAACGUGUUGCUCAAGUUCUAGCUCGACUUGAUUAUAGCAGAGUAUAAUUUGUAUAUUUUGCAAGCCAAGUCCAAGUAGCUUGAUUCACUUACAUCCCUAGUAAUUAACCCUAAACAUUUGCAUGAUAAAAUGUUAUUUCUACAACAUAGAUUUUCAAUUCAUUAAUCCUACAAAAUAUUAAGCAAAAAAAGUUGGAGACAGAACAGCAAACAAAAUGAAUGCAUUUUGUAAUUUCACAAGAGAAAAUGAAAACUGGAAACAGAAAAUAACUGAAAACAGAAAAUGGAAAACUGUUUCCUGCAAAUGACCAAAUCCCUGGCGUUCCAAACUAGAUUCAUCUAACCAGUAUAGAAAGUGAAUUUUGAAUUAUAGAUUUAGCGCCUAAAGUCCUUCAUGCAUUGAUUUAUAUGGACUACAUAAUCAAGAGCCUAUUUGACUUUUAGUUUUUGCUGUCCAAUUGUCAAAGAAACUUGUAUAAAUUUAUUUAUUUAUUUAUUUACUUGGUGUUUUAAAACAGAAAAACAGGUUGUUGCAACAACUGAAAACCACAAAAAAUGGCCCAUGCAAAACUAAUGAAUCUAGGUGAGAAGCACACCUAGUUAAGAUAUUGACCAUAGC